This 253-nucleotide ribosomal RNA is filed under the name uncultured bacterium. RNAcentral describes it as "partial 16S ribosomal RNA". It matches the Rfam family "Bacterial small subunit ribosomal RNA", at positions 524 to 776 of the family's 1533-position model. The record is from RNAcentral.
UACGGAGGGGGCUAGCGUUGUUCGGAAUUACUGGGCGUAAAGCGCGUGUAGGCGGCAGCGCAAGUCGGGCGUGAAAUCCCACGGCUCAACCGUGGAAGUGCACUCGAAACUGCGCAGCUAGAGUCCUGGAGAGGAAGGUGGAAUGCUUGGUGUAGAGGUGAAAUUCGUAGAUAUCAAGCGGAACACCGGUGGCGAAGGCGGCCUUCUGGACAGUGACUGACGCUGAGACGCGAAAGCGUGGGGAGCAAACAGG